CNNUUNCAUGGAGCAAGUCUGAUGGAGCAACGCCGCGUGAGUGAAGAAGGUUUUCGGAUCGUAAAGCUCUGUUGUUGGUGAAGAAGGAUAGAGGUAGUAACUGGCCUUUAUUUGACGGUAAUCAACCAGAAAGUCACGGCUAACUACGUGCCAGCAGCCGCGGUAAUACA
RNAcentral lists this ribosomal RNA (170 nucleotides) under uncultured Lactobacillus sp. RNAcentral's name for it is "partial 16S ribosomal RNA". It matches the Rfam family "Bacterial small subunit ribosomal RNA", at positions 359 to 527 of the family's 1533-position model. The record is from RNAcentral. Lineage: Bacteria; Bacillati; Bacillota; Bacilli; Lactobacillales; Lactobacillaceae.